Molecule: long non-coding RNA, 2185 nt
Organism: Haliotis rubra (blacklip abalone)
Lineage: Eukaryota; Metazoa; Mollusca; Gastropoda; Lepetellida; Haliotidae
Exons: 3
Source: RefSeq, a predicted model, not a curated record
UGUUGAGGUAAGUAUUGUGUCACAUACUGUAGGACGUGUUGAGGUAAGUGUUGUGUCACAUACUGUAGGAGGUGUUGAGGUAAGUGUUGUGACAGGAUACUGUAGGAGGUGUCGAGGUAAGUGUUUUUGUCACAUACUGUAGGAGGUGUUGAGGUAAGUGUUUUGUCUGGAUACUGUAGGACGUGUCGAGGUAAGUGUUGUGUCACAUACUGAAGGGCGUGUUGGGGUAAGUGUUGUGUCAGGAUACUGUAGGACGUGUUGAGGUAAGUGUUGUGUCUGGAUACUGUAGGAGGUGUUGAGGUAAGUGUUGUGACAGGAUACUGUAGGAGGUGUCGAGGUAAGUGUUUUUGUCACAUACUGUAGGAGGUGUUGAGGUAAGUGUUUUGUCUGGAUACUGUAGGACGUGUCGAGGUAAGUGUUGUGUCACAUACUGAAGGGCGUGUUGGGGUAAGUGUUGUGUCAGGAUACUGUAGGACGUGUUGGGGUAAGUGUUGUGUCACAUACUGUAGAAGGUGUUGAGGUAAGUGUUGUGUCUGGAUACUGUGGGAGGUGUCGAGGUAAGUGUUGUGUCACAUACUGUAGGAGGUGUUGAGGUAAGUGUUGUGUCUGGAUACUGUAGGAGGUGUCGAGGUAAGUAUUGUGUCACAUACUGUAGGAGGUGUUGAGGUAAGUAUUGUGUCACAUACUGUAGGGGGUGUUGAGGUAAGUGUUGUGUCUGGAUACUGUAGGAGGUGUUGAGGUAAGUAUUGUGUGACAUACUGUAGGAGGUGUUGAGGUAAGUAUUGUGUCACAUACUGUAGGAGGUGUUGAGGUAAGUAUUGUGUCACAUACUGUAGGAGGUGUUGAUGUAAGUAUUGUGUCACAUACUGUAGGACGUGUUGAGGUAAGUGUUGUGUCACAUACUGUAGGAGGUGUUGAGGUAAGUGUUGUGACAGGAUACUGUAGGAGGUGUCGAGGUAAGUGUUUUUGUCACAUACUGUAGGAGGUGUUGAGGUAAGUGUUGUGACAGGAUAAUGUAGGAGGUAUUGAGGUAAGUGUUGUGUCUGGAUACUGUAGGAGGUGUCGAGGUAAGUGUUGUGUCACACACUGUAGGUGGUAUUGGGGUAAGUGUUCUGUCAGGAUACUGUAGGAGGUGUUGAGGUAAAUGUUGUGAGAGGAUACUGUAGGAGGUAUUUGGGGUAAAUGUUGUGUCUGGAUACUGUAGGAGAUGUUGAGGUAAGUGUUGUGUCUGGAUACUGUAGGAGGUAUUGAAAUAAGUGUUGUGACAGGAGACUCUAGGAGGUGUUGAGGUAUGUGUUGUGACAGGAUACUGUAGGAGGAAUAAAGGUAAGUAACCACGUCAGGUUCGAAAGAGUGGACUUAGGUUUGUUUUACUGAAUAUUUCAAUAAAUAUUUGUACAAUCAUUUCAAUGGAAUCAUGUGUUAGCGGCAGAUGGAACUAAAUUCACUGUUAUAUAAACCGACAACAAUUCUAACUCAACUGUUAACGCUUUGAUAUAAACUCUAGUUGACAGAAUAGAUACAUACAACCACAACUUUGUUACUCGCCAUACUAUUUCACAAUAUAAAUAGCAACACCACGGAAGGCCUCGAUGGUGAAAUGUCAAUUUGAUCCACACGUAGAAUAUAUUUGUCAGUAGCAGUAUCCAGUAUAACAGUGUGUAGCCCAAGAAAAAUAUUCAAACAUAUUUAGUAAAAAUUGCUGGUCUAUAACAUGAUAUUUGGACAUCUAUUUUCCUGAUCUAAAAAUGCUUUCAUUUACUAAAAUUUUAUAUCUUUCGAUCAAGGCACAAAAACUAUUUUCAGGUGUAUUUGUCGGUAUGUUUUAACUUAGUUACCGGUAGAUCGGGAGGGAAAGUGUGCAUGCACCUAAUAAGCAUUACCAAUUUAGGUUACUGUGUGUAUUUGUACACUUGUGUAAUUUGCCAUUUCUAUCACCAAAACUAGAUAUCAUUACAGUCGAACCCCAAUGUCUCGAACUUGGUAGAGACAACUUCUCGGUUGUGUCGAACUCAUCAAUCUGUCCCUGCUAAUUUCCUCAUAUUUAUCAUUAUUUCUAUGCUGACGGAUGUGUCGAACAUUCGGAUAAGUCGAACCAUUCCCUUUGUCCAGACUAGUUCGACACAACGGGGUUUGAAUGCAUUUACUUGGGAUCAUUAUAAUAGCAUAUAUUGUACACCAUGAC